CAUGAAUCAAAAUGUCUUAUUUUCUGGAUGUUAUGGGACUAAGGUUAAGGUGAGGUAAAAGAGAGUAAAAGAAAAGGUUCAAAUCAAAGAAAGUAGAACAUUCUGAAAAAUGAUAUUUCAAACAAGAUAUUCCAUUAAAACACAUAAUUUUUCCAACUUUAAUCAUCAAUGCUUCUCUUUCAACAUAAAACCUUAAGAACAUAAAUGAAUUACUUUUUUUUAUUCUUUUCUUUUCUUUUUUCUUUUUUUCUUUUUUGUUUUUCACCUUUGGCAACUUUACCCAUCUUUUCAUCAAGCGUCACUUUUUCUUUCUUUUCACAUAAUUUCCAACUAUAAUUCCAUGAGAUAUCACAAGUAUAUGCUCUACUAAUCCUUGGCUAGGGGAAAAGGAAAACAUAUAAGAAGUUCAGGUUUACACAUAGUUAAAGUAAAGAAAAAUAACAAGCUCAAAAGAGGCUCAUUAAGGAUAAUAUGCUUUAGGUUGACUUUUUGGUUCAAGUGGUUAAAAUUCCUAAUGCCUUUAUCAUCUUCAUGUAUAUAUGUAAUGCGAAUGUAAUCUCCACAAGUUCUAGAGAUACAUACCAUUGAAAGAAUGCACAAUCAAAGAAUAUAAUUGAGGGAGAGAGGGAAAGAGAGUGCAGUAGAACAAAAAAAAAAAGGGUGGCAACCAUAAGAGAAGAAACACAAACUCUCCUCUUUACAAACCAGAAAUCAUGUUUUCUUCCAUCUUUAGAAGUAGUUGUUCAAUAAAUAUGUAAAGCUAAACUUGUUACAGCUAUGAUUUCAGUAGCUUUUCUCUUAACACUACUAUGGUUUCGACUACUGUUUGGGACAUUACAACUAGCCACUAUCCUACUAACAUCUUCCACAAAAUUAGGAAUAACAUCCUCCUCCUAAUCACCAUUUCCUUCCGCAAAAUUUUUGUCAACAUUACUUGAAUUUCCCAAUCCAUCACCACCAUGAUCUUCUUCAGAAGUCAUUCCUUGAGAUGAAGCCCAUUCAUGUUGUCGGUGAAGACCAUUUUUCAUGACAAUAAACUAAAGAUAAUCAAAUUCUAUGGAGACUAUUAUGACAUAUUAAUGUCAACAUUUUGAUGGCUAAUUCACUAACAACAGUAAUGAUAAAUAGUUUCAGAUCUAUUACGAAUCAUGUUAGAAAUUAAAAAAAAAAAAACAAUUACCGUAUAAAAAGUACAAAUUGCUAGAACCCAUUCCAGAAGCAUAAAAAUAAUAAUUAGUCAUUGCAUUCUAUCAUGAAUUAAUAAACCAACAAUUACAUGCACAGUAAGUUCCUUGAAGCAAGCCAGUAAAAAAAUAAGCUCAAUAGAAGAUUAGACGAAAGAUAGAUUUUGAACAUGGCAACAACAAAUCGAUAAUCAUAACAAAUAAAAUGAAGUAAUUAAUGGCAGUAAACAACAAAUGCAUCGAACUCACUGAAAUAAGGAAGAAGUUUGAUGUUGUCGUUGUGGAUGUAAUUAACGUUGAACAAAAUGUUGGUGUUCAGUGCCUUUUCUGCAGGCUUGUGUUGUGAUUAUGGAAGAGUUUGGAGGAUACUGUGUAGAUCUAGUUGCUUUGGUUUCUCUAUAGAUCCAGAUCUUGUAGGAGGUUUCUGCAGACUGGUUUCUCAUGGAAAGAAUGAGGUUAUUUUUUGCCUUUCUUUAGAAACGAUAAAGGAGACGAGCAGGGCAGCAGAGACUUUUAUGGUAACCCUGGGCAAACAUUAAAGAAUAUUUAAGAACCCAACUAAAAAACCAUGUAUACACUGCUGUGCAAUGAACUGCGUUUUCAACUCAAAUUUUAUAUGGGACCCGCUUCACAAAAC
RNAcentral lists this long non-coding RNA (1821 nucleotides) under Populus trichocarpa (black cottonwood). RNAcentral's name for it is "long non-coding RNA (PTRI_LNC001493)". Lineage: Eukaryota; Viridiplantae; Streptophyta; Magnoliopsida; Malpighiales; Salicaceae. The record is from RNAcentral.